This is a non-coding RNA of Triticum aestivum (bread wheat), 120 nucleotides long. NCBI's taxonomy places the organism in Eukaryota, Viridiplantae, Streptophyta, Magnoliopsida, Poales, Poaceae. The record is from Rfam.
UAAAUACUCCCUCCAUCCGAAAAUACUUGUCAUCAAAAUGGUCUAAAACUACAAUACGUCUAGAUACAUUUCCUUUUAUCCAUUUUGAUGACAAGUAUUUACGGACGGAGGGAGUAUUUG